Molecule: ribosomal RNA, 253 nt
Filed under: uncultured bacterium
Lineage: Bacteria
Description: partial 16S ribosomal RNA
Rfam family: Bacterial small subunit ribosomal RNA
Source: RNAcentral
UACGGAGGGUGCGAGCGUUAAUCGGAAUAACUGGGCGUAAAGGGCACGCAGGCGGGCUUUUAAGUGAGAUGUGAAAUCCCCGGGCUGAACCUGGGAAUAGCAAUUCAGACUGGGAGUCUAGAGUACUUUAGGGACGGGUAGAAUUCCACGUGUAGCGGUGAAAUGCGUAGAGAUGUGGAAGAAUACCGAAGGCGAAGGCAGCCUCCUGGGUAUGUACUGACGCUGAUGUGCGAAAGCGUGGGGAGCAAACAGG